This 392-nucleotide long non-coding RNA is filed under the name Elaeis guineensis (African oil palm). RNAcentral describes it as "long non-coding RNA (EGUI_LNC052180)". The record is from RNAcentral. Lineage: Eukaryota; Viridiplantae; Streptophyta; Magnoliopsida; Arecales; Arecaceae.
GUUUCAAAUUCGAGCAUAAGGGGUCAACUUUACCUACCUAUUUACCUACCAAGUAUUAUAGAUUAUAAAGAUAGUAGAUAUAAAUGGACAUAUAUUUUUAUUUUAUUUUUUAAAUAUUUUUGCAUAUAUACUCUUAUAAAGUGUCCAUUACAUAUUCACCUUUCAAAGUUUCAAAUUACAUCUUUACCCUUAGAUUGAGAUUUUUUGUACCUUUGUUGUGUGUGUCUCUAUCUCUCAUAGAUGGUGUUGUUCAACAUCAUUAAAAUAUUAUUAAAUAUAUGAAAUGACAUGUUUAUCCUUGUUUAACUGGCUCUAAAAAUUAAAAUUAAAGUGCUAAGAGCUACUGAAUUGAACCCUUAACUAUUAAGUGAAAAUGAAACCAAUUAUCCACC